Long non-coding RNA from Humulus lupulus (European hop), 721 nucleotides. RefSeq lists it as uncharacterized. The transcript is spliced from 3 exons. NCBI's taxonomy places the organism in Eukaryota, Viridiplantae, Streptophyta, Magnoliopsida, Rosales, Cannabaceae. The record is from RefSeq and is a predicted model, not a curated record.
UUUUUUUAAAUUUUCUUUAUGAACAUAGCUUAGCUAUUAGACGAAUUUAUGUAAUGGAGAGUUUUAUUGUGGGUCAAAUUUAUAUAAUUCACGGCUCAAGUAAAUGUCUGGGUGCAUUGUACAAAAGAGAAAAAGUUAACUUUUCAUUCCCCUGUGAGAAGUAAAUGGCUGUUUCUAUUUAUUUCUUUCUCAAUUUAGUUUUUCUGCUGCUUUUGCUGCCUCUUGUCGUUGUAUUUAAGAGUUUUGUUGUUCUUUUUAUUUUGUGAGCUCUAGUUUCCAAGGACUCUAUAGUGGGUUUGGAUAGUUUCUUGGUUGUAAGAGUUGUAAUUUUUUUUAAUGAUGACUCCUAAUUAAAGGUCGAAUGAUGUUGAUAGUUUAUUAAUUGGUAUGUAAAUUUGCUUUCAUUUUAGUGGCUUCAUUGGAUUUCAAAUUGGAAGGAACUUUAUUUGCAGCAGUUUGCAAGAGGUACCUCUCUAUUAUGAUGGGAUUGGGGGCAUACGUUUGUCAUUAAAACUUUCUGACUCUAGCCAAACACCUAUAGAGAUUGGAUUGGAUCUGGAGAAAUUGUUGUAGAAGGUUAUUUUAUUUCAAGUGACCCAAAGGAUGAGGUUCACCAUGUUCCUCUUGGGCCUAGUGCUAUGAAAGUGGGGAUAGAUCUUGUGAGAAAGAAUGAUGCAUUUCUGUGGAGGCCUUCAACAAUUAUGUCUACUAUAGAAGAUGC